RNAcentral lists this ribosomal RNA (506 nucleotides) under uncultured bacterium. RNAcentral describes it as "partial 16S ribosomal RNA". It matches the Rfam family "Bacterial small subunit ribosomal RNA", at positions 29 to 523 of the family's 1533-position model. The record is from RNAcentral.
AGUGAACGCUGGCGGUAGGCCUAACACAUGCAAGUCGAACGGCAGCACAGAGGAGCUUGCUCCUUGGGUGGCGAGUGGCGGACGGGUGAGGAAUACAUCGGAAUCUACUCUGUCGUGGGGGAUAACGUAGGGAAACUUACGCUAAUACCGCAUACGACCUACGGGUGAAAGCAGGGGAUCUUCGGACCUUGCGCGAUUGAAUGAGCCGAUGUCGGAUUAGCUAGUUGGCGGGGUAAAGGCCCACCAAGGCGACGAUCCGUAGCUGGUCUGAGGGGAUGUGCAGCCACACUGGAACUGAGACACGGUCCAGACUCCUACGGGAGGCAGCAGUGGGGAAUAUUGGACAAUGGGGGCAAGCCUGAUCCAGCCAUACCGCGUGGGUGAGGAAGGCCUUCGGGUUGUAAAGCCCUUUUGUUGGGAAAGAAAUCCAUAUGGUUAAUACCCGGGUGGGAUGACGGUACCCAAAGAAUAAGCACCGGCUAACUUCGUGCCAGCCGCCGCCGUAA